UGACCUCGGAUCAGGUAGGGAUACCCGCUGAACUUAAGCAUAUCAAUAAGCGGAGGAAAAGAAACCAACAGGGAUUGCCCUAGUAACGGCGAGUGAAGCGGCAACAGCUCAAAUUUGAAAGCUGGCCUUCGGGUCCGCAUUGUAAUUUGUAGAGGAUGCUUUGGGGAGGCCGCCUGUCUAAGUUCCUUGGAACAGGACGUCAUAGAGGGUGAGAAUCCCGUAUGUGACAGGAAAUGGCACCCUAUGUAAAGCUCCUUCGACGAGUCGAGUUGUUUGGGAAUGCAGCUCUAAAUGGGAGGUAAAUUUCUUCUAAAGCUAAAUAUUGGCGAGAGACCGAUAGCGCACAAGUAGAGUGAUCGAAAGAUGAAAAGCACUUUGGAAAGAGAGUUAAAAAGCACGUGAAAUUGUUGAAAGGGAAGCGCUUGCAAUCAGACUUGUCUAAACUGUUCGGCCGGUCUUCUGACCGGUUUACUCAGUUUGGACAGGCCAGCAUCAGUUUCGGCGGCCGGAUAAAGGCUCUGGGAAUGUGGCCCCCACUUCGGUGGGGGUGUUAUAGCCCAGUGUGUAAUACGGCCAGCCGGGACUGAGGUCCGCGCUCGGC
RNAcentral lists this ribosomal RNA (601 nucleotides) under Aureobasidium bupleuri. Its description in RNAcentral is "eukaryotic LSU rRNA". It matches the Rfam family "Eukaryotic large subunit ribosomal RNA", at positions 1 to 610 of the family's 3401-position model. The record is from RNAcentral. Lineage: Eukaryota; Fungi; Ascomycota; Dothideomycetes; Dothideales; Saccotheciaceae.